RNAcentral lists this long non-coding RNA (94 nucleotides) under Aotus nancymaae (Ma's night monkey). RNAcentral describes it as "lncRNA (ENSANAG00000038567.1)". The record is from RNAcentral. Lineage: Eukaryota; Metazoa; Chordata; Mammalia; Primates; Aotidae.
UUUUUUUUUUGUUUUUUUUUUUUUUUUUUUUUUUUUUUUUUUUUUUUGAGACGAGUUUGCUCUGUUUGACCCAGGCUGGGGUGCAUGGCGGAUC